AUAAUCAUAGAGAUUUUUCUUGCCUCGAUACAUAGCUUGAAACUCUUGCUUUAAAGGGGAGCAAAGCUAAAAUUCAUUAGGCAUUCUACUUGGAUAAGAUAGGGGGAGCUUUUGGUUCAUUAAUACAUUCUCUAAAUUGGACUAUUUGAAACUUUUACACCAAAAGCAUUUCCUAUACAUUAAACCUUACUUCUCACAUGAAUAUCAAUUUGCUUAUACUCAAUAUUUUGUAAUCAUCAAAAAGGGGGAGAUUGAGGAUCCUAGUGUUA
This 269-nucleotide long non-coding RNA is filed under the name Phoenix dactylifera (date palm). Its description in RNAcentral is "long non-coding RNA (PDAC_LNC021153)". Lineage: Eukaryota; Viridiplantae; Streptophyta; Magnoliopsida; Arecales; Arecaceae. The record is from RNAcentral.